CUCGCCUUUCCCCGCCCCAGCCGCCUGCGCGCCCGCCCUAGAUAUCAUGGCGGCUCCCUUGGCCCUGGUUCUGGUGGUGGCCGUGACCGUGCGGGCCGCCUUAUUCCGCUCUAGUCUGGCCGAGUUCAUUUCCGAGCGGGUAGAGGUGGUGUCCCCUCUGAGCUCGUGGAAGCGAGUGGUUGAAGGCCUGUCACUGUUGGACUUGGGAAUAUCUCCAUAUUCUGGAGCAGUCUUCCAUGAAACUCCACUCAUAAUAUAUCUCUUUCAUUUCCUAAUUGAUUAUGCUGAGUUGGUAUUUAUGAUAAGCGAUGCGCUCACUGCUGUUGCCCUCUAUUUUGCAAUCCAGGAUUUCAAUAAAGUUGUGUUUAAAAAGCAAAAACUCCUCCUAGAACUGGACCAGUAUGCCCCUGAUGUGGCCGAACUCAUCCGAACCCCUAUGGAAAUGCGUUACAUCCCUCUGAAAGUGGCUCUGUGCUAUCUCUUAAAUCCCUACACGAUCUUGUCUUGUGUUGCCAAGUCUACCUGCGCCAUCAACAACACCCUCAUUGCUUUCUUCAUAUUGGCUACUAUAAAAGGCAGUGCUUUCCUCAGUGCAAUUUUCCUUGCGUUAGCAACAUACCAGUCUCUGUACCCACUCACCUUGUUUGUGCCAGGGCUGCUCUAUCUCCUUCAGCGGCAGUACAUUCCUGUGAAAGUGAGGAGCAAGGCCUUCUGGAUCUUCCUGUGGGAAUACACCGUGAUGUAUGUGGGAAGCCUGGUGGUAAUCGUUUGCCUCUCCUUCUUCCUUCUCAGCUCCUGGGAUUUCAUCCCCGCGGUCUAUGGCUUCAUACUGUCCGUUCCAGAUCUCACUCCAAACAUUGGCCUUUUCUGGUACUUCUUUGCAGAGAUGUUUGAGCACUUCAGCCUCUUCUUUGUAUGUGUGUUUCAGAUCAACGUUUUCUUCUACACCAUUCCCUUAGCCAUCAAGCUAAAGGAGCACCCCAUCUUCUUCAUGUUCAUCCAGAUUGCCGUCAUUGCCAUCUUUAAGUCCUACCCAACUGUGGGGGAUGUGGCGCUCUAUAUGGCCUUCUUCCCUGUGUGGAACCAUCUCUACAGAUUCCUGCGGAACAUCUUUGUCCUCACCUGCAUUAUUAUCGUCUGUUCCCUGCUCUUCCCUGUGCUGUGGCACCUGUGGAUUUAUGCGGGAAGUGCCAACUCUAACUUCUUUUAUGCCAUCACCCUGACCUUCAAUGUUGGGCAGAUCAUGCUCAUCUCCGACUACUUCUACGCCUUCCUGCGGCGGGAGUACUACCUCACACACGGCCUCUACCUAACUGCCAAGGACGGCACGGAGGCCAUGCUUGUGCUCAAGUAGGCCUGCCGGGCACAGGCUGCACGGACCUCACAGAGCGGAGGGCCUGGAGCUGGGCCCAGCCCUCUAUGCGGAGUCGCCGACAGACAAGGCUCAAGUCUAGGAUCACCAGUCUGUGGCACCAGAGGAGCCCUCUGGCUGAGAGCAAGGCCUGUGGGGAGGAGCUGGACGCCUCAGAAGCCUUUGUGGCUCUGCACACCGAGGAGCCCCCCCCCCCCACCUGGAGAACAGAGGGUUGGCAGCAGACCUAACCCAGGUCCCCUUCCGGCAGCUGCUGCCUGCACACCCACCGGAUGAUCUUAACCAGUUCGCUCAUGUUGACAUGAUCCGGGACCAAGAACUUGGUUUUGUCCAGGACUGGCAGCUGCUUCUCCCCCUUGUAGCGCUCUAUGAUCACCUGAGAGUGGGACAAGUGAGCCGGGGCCGGGCCGGACCGGCAAGGGAGGGGUGUGUGUCAGGGACUCGGGACUCACCGGGAUCUUGCUGGGGUGCUGGUCACGGAUC
RNA transcript from Ochotona princeps (American pika), 1855 nucleotides. It is a transcript of the gene named phosphatidylinositol glycan anchor biosynthesis class U, with no coding region annotated. NCBI's taxonomy places the organism in Eukaryota, Metazoa, Chordata, Mammalia, Lagomorpha, Ochotonidae. The transcript has 13 exons. The record is from RefSeq and is a predicted model, not a curated record.